This 504-nucleotide ribosomal RNA is filed under the name uncultured bacterium. Its description in RNAcentral is "partial 16S ribosomal RNA". It matches the Rfam family "Bacterial small subunit ribosomal RNA", at positions 28 to 507 of the family's 1533-position model. The record is from RNAcentral.
GACGAACGCUGGCGGCGUGCCUAAUACAUGCAAUAGAACGCACAGUUUAUACCGUAGCUUGCUACACCAUAGACUGUGAGUUGCGAACGGGUGAGUAACGCGUAGGUAACCUGCCUGGUAGCGGGGGAUAACUAUUGGAAACGAUAGCUAAUACCGCAUAAUAUUAAUUAUUGCAUGAUAAUUAAUUGAAAGGUGCAAUUGCACCACUACCAGAUGGACCUGCGUUGUAUUAGCUAGUAGGUGAGGUAACGGCUCACCUAGGCGACGAUACAUAGCCGACCUGAGAGGGUGAUCGGCCACACUGGGAAUGAGACACGGCCCAGACUCCUACGGGAGGCAGCAGUAGGGAAUCUUCGGCAAUGGACGAAAGUCUGACCGAGCAACGCCGCGUGAGUGAAGAAGGGUUUCGGAUCGUAAAGCUCUGUUGUAAGAGAAGAACGGGUGUGAGAGUGGAAAGUUCACACUGUGACGGUAUCUUACCAGAAAGGGACGGCUAACUACGUG